This is a long non-coding RNA of Eurytemora carolleeae, 278 nucleotides long. RefSeq lists it as uncharacterized. The record is from RefSeq and is a predicted model, not a curated record. The transcript is spliced from 3 exons. Lineage: Eukaryota; Metazoa; Arthropoda; Copepoda; Calanoida; Temoridae.
ACGCCAUUUUGUUUCAGCUGAAUGUCCACCUGGGUUUACGCGGGUUGGGUCUGGUUGCUAUAUAAUCUCUAAUGAUCGGGUUGGAUGGAUUGAAGCAAGGAAAAUGUGUGAACAAAAUAAAGCAAGACUUGUCAGUCUUGAGUCUGAGGAUAAAGCAGAUGAGUUGGUUCAGAUGAUCUCGAUACAAUCAAAUUCUAGGAGAUCUAGAAUGGAGUUCUGGAUUGCAGGAAAUGAUAUAGAAGAGGAGGGAGUUUGGGAAUGGGCUAAAUCAAGGUUAU